UACGGAGGGGGCUAGCGUUGUUCGGAAUUACUGGGCGUAAAGCGCGCGUAGGCGGCUUUGUAAGUCAGAGGUGAAAGCCUGGAGCUCAACUCCAGAACUGCCUUUGAGACUGCAUCGCUUGAAUCCGGGAGAGGUGAGUGGAAUUCCGAGUGUAGAGGUGAAAUUCGUAGAUAUUCGGAAGAACACCAGUGGCGAAGGCGGCUCACUGGACCGGUAUUGACGCUGAGGUGCGAAAGCGUGGGGAGCAAAC
This 250-nucleotide ribosomal RNA is filed under the name uncultured prokaryote. RNAcentral describes it as "partial 16S ribosomal RNA". It matches the Rfam family "Bacterial small subunit ribosomal RNA", at positions 524 to 773 of the family's 1533-position model. The record is from RNAcentral.